UUAAAGAGUUCUAUAACUCCCAAACCCAUGUGAACAUACCUAACGUUGCCUCGGCAGGUCGCACCUACCUUGUAGCACCCUACCCUGUAGGGCCUACCCGGGAGGUGCGGGUAAGCCUGCCGGCGGCCCACCAAACUCUGUUUGAUAUUGAAUUCUGAACCUAUAACUAAAUAAGUUAAAACUUUCAACAACGGAUCUCUUGGUUCUGGCAUCGAUGAAGAACGCAGCGAAAUGCGAUAAGUAAUGUGAAUUGCAGAAUUCAGUGAAUCAUCGAAUCUUUGAACGCAUAUUGCGCCCAUUAGUAUUCUAGUGGGCAGGACCGUUCGAGCGUCAUUUCAACCCUUAAGCCUUCGUUGCUUAGUGUUGGGAGCCUACGGCAACGUAGCUCCUCAAAGUUAGUGGCGGAGUUGGUUCACACUCUAGACGUAGUAAUUUUUUAUCUCGCCUAUUAGUUGGACUAAUCCCCUGCCGUAAAACCCCCAAUUUAUCAAGGUUGACCUCGAAUCGGUUCAGACAAACUCGCUAAAUUGAAGCAUCUUAGUCAGCGAAGGAAAAAAAACCAACAGGGAUUGCCCUAGUAACGG
RNAcentral lists this ribosomal RNA (584 nucleotides) under fungal endophyte. RNAcentral's name for it is "eukaryotic LSU rRNA". The stretch from base 180 to 333 matches the Rfam family "5.8S ribosomal RNA". The record is from RNAcentral. Lineage: Eukaryota; Fungi.